CCUACGGGAGGCAGCAGUGAGGAAUAUUGGUCAAUGGUCGGGAGACUGAACCAGCCAAGCCGCGUGAGGGAUGAAGGUACAGAGUAUCGUAAACCUCUUUUGUCAGGGAACAAAGGCGGGGACGUGUCCCCGGAUGAGUGUACCUGAAGAAAAAGCAUCGGCUAACUCCGUGCCAGCAGCCGCGGUAAUACGGAGGAUGCGAGCGUUAUCCGGAUUUAUUGGGUUUAAAGGGUGCGGAGGCGGUAUGUUAAGUCAGGGGUUAAAGCCCGGGGCUCAACCCCGGCCGCGCGGUUGAACCUGGCAGUCUCGAGUAGAGGAGAGGUAUGCGGAAUGCGCGGUGUAGCGGUGAAAUGCAUAGAUAUCACGAAGAACUCCGAUUGCGAAGGCAGCAUGCCGGCUCCACACUGACGCUGAGGCACGAAAGCGUGGGUAUCGAACAGGAUUAGAUACCCCGGUAGUC
RNAcentral lists this ribosomal RNA (460 nucleotides) under uncultured bacterium. Its description in RNAcentral is "partial 16S ribosomal RNA". It matches the Rfam family "Bacterial small subunit ribosomal RNA", at positions 338 to 795 of the family's 1533-position model. The record is from RNAcentral.